Biomphalaria pfeifferi is the source of this 241-nucleotide non-coding RNA. NCBI's taxonomy places the organism in Eukaryota, Metazoa, Mollusca, Gastropoda, Planorbidae. The record is from the annotation of a GenBank genome assembly.
UUCUUUUUUUUUUUUUUUUUUUUUCAUUAGUUUUAAUGUACCAUAUUCAUAUGUAUCUGUUAUUAGGACAACCAUAUUUUCUUAUUGGUCAUUUAAGUCAAACUGUACAUAAAGGUGCUUACUUUGUCAUAUUUACUGAGAGUUGGCAACAAUGUUUGUGUUACAGUUAUCCUUUGCAAUGUCUUAGUUUGUUAAUUAUGCUGUUGUGUGAAGAUCUUUGAUGUUGUAAGCAUAAUAUCAU